AGUGAACGCUGGCGGUAGGCCUAACACAUGCAAGUCGAACGGCAGCACAGUAAGAGCUUGCUCUUACGGGUGGCGAGUGGCGGACGGGUGAGGAAUACAUCGGAAUCUACUUUUUCGUGGGGGAUAACGUAGGGAAACUUACGCUAAUACCGCAUACGCCCUACGGGUGAAAGCAGGGGAACUUCGCACCUUGCGCGAAUGAAUGCGCCGAUGGCGGAUUAGCUGGUUGGCGGGGUAAAGGCCCACCCAGGCGACGAUCCGUGGCUGGUCUGAGAGGAUGGUCAGCCACACUGGAACUGAGACACGGUCCAGACUCCUACGGGAGGCAGCAGUGGGGAAUAUUGGACAAUGGGCGCAAGCCUGAUCCAGCCAUACCGCGUGGGUGAAGAAGGCCUUCGGGUUGUAAAGCCCUUUUGUUGGGAAAGAAAAGCAGCAGGUUAAUACCCCGCUGUUCUGACGGUACCCAAAGAAUAAGCACCGGCUAACUUCGUG
RNAcentral lists this ribosomal RNA (492 nucleotides) under uncultured bacterium. RNAcentral's name for it is "partial 16S ribosomal RNA". It matches the Rfam family "Bacterial small subunit ribosomal RNA", at positions 29 to 507 of the family's 1533-position model. The record is from RNAcentral.